Non-coding RNA from Nicotiana tabacum (common tobacco), 563 nucleotides. Lineage: Eukaryota; Viridiplantae; Streptophyta; Magnoliopsida; Solanales; Solanaceae. The record is from RefSeq and is a predicted model, not a curated record.
CCACAUUAUUUCCACGCCCAUCCCCACUCCCAUCGCCGGAAACUGGAAAAAUCCGGCGACGCGGUUUUGGUCCCCUACUCCUCUUCUCUUCCCUCCACGUGGCCGGACACGUAACAAACUCCCACUCACUCGAAUCUUCCAUCAUUUUUAUUCCUUUACUAAUCAUAAAUCCGAAUUCUUUUUGACGAUUUUUAGAAAAUUGGAUGCCUCAGGAUUAAUAUUCUUUGAUCCUAGACUUCCACUUGUCUAGAAUUUCGGAUUAUUUUCUUAGAGGAGUUUUUAUCCAUUUCUUGGAGAGGAAGAAGAGAACAUUCUAGGUUCUCUAUAUAUACUCCAUUUUUCAGAUUUUGUAGCUGUUUUCGAUCAAAUUUCGUCAUCGGCAUUCCUUAUAACACAUCUGAGCAGCAAAUCAAUUAAGAAAACUUCUUGUGAGAGUUGACAGAAAGCCUGGACCUGUGAAUGCGAAAUUUUCUCAUGUAUGUCCACAUUCCACACUCCACUGUCUGUUACCAAUGAAAAUAAAUGCAUUUGAGAUUAAAUAAACUACAAGAAUUUUUAUCCAA